AGAGGAAGUCCGGUGCGAAUCCGGCGCGGUCCCGCCACUGUCACCGGGGAGCGCUCCUCCGACGAGGGCCACGGCCCGUACUCCGUACGGGCGGGAAGGCCGGGGGCGGCGCCGAUCCGGGAGCCAGGAGACUC
RNAcentral lists this non-coding RNA (134 nucleotides) under Streptomyces sp. Lineage: Bacteria; Bacillati; Actinomycetota; Actinomycetes; Kitasatosporales; Streptomycetaceae. The record is from RNAcentral.